ACGGCAUAAGGCUGCCUUUGCUGAAGGUUUUGAUUGAUAGGCUGCUGCAGGAUGGAAUAGAGGAGCUACUUAAUGUACUCAGCAGUACCAAGAAAACAAAGGAAGACACAGAAACUCACACCUCCAACGUCAUCACUGAGUACACAGUAUGUAAAUAUAAGGAAAAAGUGCAUGUUAUUUUUACCUUAGGGAGGUUGACUUGCUAUCUCCACACUCCACACAACAAAAGAGGUUGUGUUGUCUCAACAGAGUUCAGUGGCGUUUGAUCUGACCAGCCAGCCGCUGGACACCAUUGAAGAGUCGGAUUUAGACCAGUUUCCAGAGUCAGUUGAUCCUUUGAAUGAGCCUGUAGAGGGUCCUACCUUAUGGACCAUCACGACACUGAAUAGAGAGCAUGGGCUCGACAGAACUGGGACCAAGUUAAAGGGAUCCAGAAGGAAGGACAUGAGCGGCAGUGAUGAAGCAUCUCCACUCAAAAUUAAUCAGACUCUAGUCAGUUCUACAUUCAAUUAUACUAAUACCCACGAGAUGCUUUCAGAGUUACCAGAAACAAUGGCAGAGACUCUUCUCCUCACCAAGGAAGACUCUUUGAAGAAGAAUCCAGGACAAAAGAAGAAUAACAGGGAGCGUGGGAAGGGCAAAGGAAAUAAAGGACGACAUAAGAGGCAGAGACAACGCCUGACAAGUGGAGAGGAUAAGCAAGGACAAGAGGAAGAAGAGUUGUAUAAUGGCGAAGAAUACAGUUAUGAGUUUGAGUAUGAGGAAGAACUUUUCCCAGAUGAUCCCUUCACCUCUAAGGAGAUCAGAGACAGCAGACAGGUAAAUUUGCUUCAAACAGCAUUCUCUCAUCUUUCAGUUGGACUGAGUAAAGUGUUAUAAUUCAUUUUUAAUGUAAAAUGUGUCCCAUGUUUUUAUCAUAUGCAGCUUGAAGUCCAAACAGAUGAAAUUCCCUAUCGAAUGGAUAAAAAG
Molecule: long non-coding RNA, 969 nt
Filed under: Mastacembelus armatus (zig-zag eel)
Lineage: Eukaryota; Metazoa; Chordata; Actinopteri; Synbranchiformes; Mastacembelidae
Description: lncRNA (ENSMAMG00000025823.1)
Source: RNAcentral